GUCUACUUUUCCUCCUUGAAAACUUGCUCUCAUCGCAGAUCAUCAACAAAUAACAGCAGAGACUUAUCCCAUCCUCAUCAUUGAAGAUUUUGUUCAACUACAAUCUCCAUGAGAAAGCAGAAACCACCAGACAAAAACUUGCUCCCACAAACCAGUAAUUUCAAUUGCAUCCAAGGAAUAGUCGACUCCAGCACCACUUGAAGGAGGAAAAGUAGACUCCAACACCCCUAGAAGCAGGUCUUCAAGAACCAAUAGUCACAACCGAAUGUAGGUGCAUUUACAGCACCACAAAGCUACAUACAGUGAGAGUACACUCUAUGCCAGGCAUACCAACCACUAAAAAUACAACAAAUAUCCCUCAAGGGCGUGAAACCAACCCCACCUCCCUUGACAAGAACAUUAACAGACAAUAAAGAUACCACGACUUACAAUAAUGCCCAACGCAUGGCAUAGGACACUACAAUUUGGCACAUACGAAUAUUGCAAUAGACCUUUCACUACAACAUUGCUCAUAUAUGCAUGUAACCUGAUUUAAGAAAAUUGUAAGUUGCGCAUGAUAACAACUGG
RNAcentral lists this unclassified non-coding RNA (567 nucleotides) under Hevea brasiliensis (rubber tree). Lineage: Eukaryota; Viridiplantae; Streptophyta; Magnoliopsida; Malpighiales; Euphorbiaceae. The record is from RNAcentral.